CUUUUACUGAAACUGCUGGGGAAGAGGUUCUCUUUUUUUCCACUGGGGUUGGUGAAUUGGCAGAAUGUGAGCCUGCAACUGGAGAUGGCCACCUCCCCACCCCAUGUGGAGCAACUGCCUAAGAAGGAAGCCAUCAUGGAGAAGGCAGCAGAGCUGAAAGAUAGUCUUGGUGGUAUCACUUGGGGUCUCUACUGAUGUUCUUCUCAUCACUUUCAUGAGAAAAACUGUACCUUUUAAGGUUUUGGACACAAGCCUGGUGAAGCCUGACAUCUACCUUCUUUGGCUGUUACAGAGUCUAAGCCCACAUGGCCACUUGGCCUAUGCCCAUCUCCUCUCCUUCUCUGGCAGUUCUUCCUGUUGCUCAGAGGUAGAGCACCAACAGUUCCUCUCAUCGCAUCCUCUGUCUUCUCAGAAAACUGUCAGUGAGACAAUGGGGUUUACCAGCUAUUUUGCUUCUGCCAAGGAGACUUUGACAAAUAUCUCCAUCACAUCUGAAUCUCCUCUGAGCCCAUUUUGUGAUCCAGGUCCACUUUGUGUCUUCUGUCCAGUGACAAUGUCACUCAGGCCAGGGAAGGUCUCAAGAGCAAGAGACUUACGGGUAAAGUGACUCCUCCCUCAGCCUGGGUUGCACGUGGCUCCAGCACCUACUGUAAAUUGGUCUAUUUAGAUAGAGUCAAAUUUCAAAAUCCUUCCUAAAACUAUGCUUAACCAUUCCACAAAACUCCCUCCAAAGAUAAAACAGAGAGAAGAGUGACAAAGAAUAUAGUGAAAUAGUAAGCUGAAAAAAACAAGACCAAUUCGUGUUCCUGUGAGCUGUGCUCUCCCGCCUUAGGCUUGCUUAUUAUCCAGGCUACGAAGCAGAGAGAGGACCACAUCAUGCCCAGGUUGGUGCGGCAUCAACAGGGGCUUCUAUUCACACGUGGCACAAUAAAGCUCUCAUGGCGCAGACAGGAGGAGCUGGCAGGGGUGCUGUGAACAUGCCACGGCUAAUUAUUAUAAUAAUAAUAUCUGCUUAUCCUUUGUAUACUGCAAAAGGUCCACAUCCCACUCUUGUACCACUUGGUCAUAAUACUGUAUUAUCCCAUACAUUUAAAAACUGGUUAGUGUUACUGAGAUCUUAAAUGUGUUGUUUGUCUCUUGCAAAGCACCAGUUACUGCCAUAUUUCUGUGAUUCAUUUUGAGUGUCUGGGGUGAUAUACUUAAUACUAUUUUCAGCUGUUUAAUAAGCACCAAAUAAAACAAUUUUUGUAUUAUUUUCUUCUGUCUUCCUUUACAAUCUACUGUCUAGAACUAUAUUUCAAUGGAGUGUAUAUUUGCUUUGCUAAAUUCAUUCAUAGUGUAUCUGCAGGCCUGGAUUGAACAUAUGUCCUGUAAUGACAACUACUUUAUUUGUAGGAACUAUUUAGGUCACUGGAGCAGAAGAAAAGAAGCCACUACUUAAUUGAAAUGGCAUAUAUCUAAAUAUAGAUACUCUUCUGAAUAUCUGUUGAACAUCAAUGAAUGAUGGAGAGAUUGUU
Molecule: non-coding RNA, 1517 nt
Organism: Manis javanica (Malayan pangolin)
Lineage: Eukaryota; Metazoa; Chordata; Mammalia; Pholidota; Manidae
Source: RefSeq, a predicted model, not a curated record